AGUCGGCCGAACGACCGCGGGCACAGGGCGAAAGCCCGUGCGUGAGGAAAGUCCGGGCUCCACAGGGCAAGGAUAACGGGUAACGCCCGCCAGGGGUGACCCUCGGACAAGUGCAACAGAAAUAGUCAGCCGGGCGUUUCGCCCGGUCAAGGUGGAAAGGUGGGGUAAGAGCCCACCCGUCGCAUGGAGACAUGUGGACGCUGUAAACUCUAUCCGGAGCAACACCGUGGUACGGGGACACACAGGCCGGCCCGGCUGUCCCCAGGAGGUGGCUUGAUCCCGCCGGCAACGGCGGGGCUAGAUAGAUGGUCGUUUCAGACAGAACCCGGCUUACAGACCGACUCGU
Molecule: RNase P RNA, 346 nt
Filed under: bovine gut metagenome
Description: Bacterial RNase P class A
Rfam family: Bacterial RNase P class A
About the family: Ribonuclease P (RNase P) is a ubiquitous endoribonuclease, found in archaea, bacteria and eukarya as well as chloroplasts and mitochondria. Its best characterised activity is the generation of mature 5'-ends of tRNAs by cleaving the 5'-leader elements of precursor-tRNAs.
Source: RNAcentral